GGGGAGCUGGCGCAACGGUAGCGCGUCAGAUUCCAGUACAUGGUAUAUCCUGAAGGUUAAGAGUUCGAAUCUCUUGUUCCUCA
This is a non-coding RNA of Neonectria punicea, 83 nucleotides long. The record is from the annotation of a GenBank genome assembly. NCBI's taxonomy places the organism in Eukaryota, Fungi, Ascomycota, Sordariomycetes, Hypocreales, Nectriaceae.